This is a long non-coding RNA of Leptinotarsa decemlineata (Colorado potato beetle), 531 nucleotides long. Lineage: Eukaryota; Metazoa; Arthropoda; Insecta; Coleoptera; Chrysomelidae. The record is from RefSeq and is a predicted model, not a curated record.
GUCUAUUCACGAGGCCGCCUCUGAUUAUUUACUUUUUACUUUGCAAUACGUCAGUUUGAGGAAAUGAGCGAGAUAGAGUAGGCGAGUUCUUUAAUGCAUCAGUGGAUCUAUUGGUCCAUUCGAAACAUUAACGCGUUUCUAUUUGUAGAAGGAAUGGAAAUAUUUUGAUGAAUUUAAGAACUCGCCAAUCGUUCAUUGUUCAGUAAUUACCAGAAAUCCAGUUUGCUACAAACCAUUCUUGUGAGAAAAGAAUACUCAUAUACUAGUGUUAUGAGACAUCAUUGACUGUGACCUCGUAAUUUGUAACUAGAACCGGUGAGACAGCUGUCAGAUUUUCAUCGUUCAGCAACAGGCAAUAGAUUCAGUUGUUUUAAGUCACUGUGAUUGCGUUGUUUAAAGAUAGUAUUUUUUUUGAUUCAGUGAAUAGUUGGUUGUAGUUGUUACAGCGAACAAGUGUAAAUUGAAUAUCCGAAGAAAAAAAAUGGCUCCCACAGUUUAUCCCUACGAAAACUUUGAUGAUGAAGAAGAUGC